UAUUUGAUUUUCUUCGGAAAUGAAGAUUUUGUGACUGAGUGGCGGACGGGUGAGUAACGCGUGGGUAACCUGCCUCAUACAGGGGGAUAACAGUUGGAAACGACUGCUAAUACCGCAUAAGACCACAGCACUGCAUGGUGCAGGGGUAAAAACUCCGGUGGUAUGAGAUGGACCCGCGUCUGAUUAGUUAGUUGGUGGGGUAACGGCCUACCAAGCCGACGAUCAGUAGCCGACCUGAGAGGGUGACCGGCCACAUUGGGACUGAGACACGGCCCAAACUCC
Molecule: ribosomal RNA, 282 nt
Filed under: uncultured Lachnospiraceae bacterium
Lineage: Bacteria; Bacillati; Bacillota; Clostridia; Lachnospirales; Lachnospiraceae
Description: partial 16S ribosomal RNA
Rfam family: Bacterial small subunit ribosomal RNA
Source: RNAcentral